AGUGAACGCUGGCGGUAGGCCUAACACAUGCAAGUCGAACGGCAGCACAGUAAGAGCUUGCUCUUACGGGUGGCGAGUGGCGGACGGGUGAGGAAUACAUCGGAAUCUACUUUUUCGUGGGGGAUAACGUAGGGAAACUUACGCUAAUACCGCAUACGGCCUACGGGUGAAAGCAGUGGAUCUUCGGACCUUGCGCGAUUGAAUGAGCCGAUGUCGGAUUAGCUAGUUGGCGGGGUAAAGGCCCACCAAGGCGACGAUCCGUAGCUGGUCUGAGAGGAUGAUCAGCCACACUGGAACUGAGACACGGUCCAGACUCCUACGGGAGGCAGCAGUGGGGAAUAUUGGACAAUGGGCGCAAGCCUGAUCCAGCCAUACCGCGUGGGUGAAGAAGGCCUUCGGGUUGUAAAGCCCUUUUGUUGGGAAAGAAAAGCAGCAGGUUAAUACCCCGCUGUUCUGACGGUACCCAAAGAAUAAGCACCGGCUAACUUCGUG
RNAcentral lists this ribosomal RNA (492 nucleotides) under uncultured bacterium. RNAcentral describes it as "partial 16S ribosomal RNA". It matches the Rfam family "Bacterial small subunit ribosomal RNA", at positions 29 to 507 of the family's 1533-position model. The record is from RNAcentral.